GGUGGGCUCAGUGGUAGAGUGCUUGCCUUGCAUGCAUGAGGUCCUAGGUUCGAAUCCGCAGCACCA
This 66-nucleotide transfer RNA is filed under the name Dipodomys ordii (Ord's kangaroo rat). It matches the Rfam family "tRNA". From Rfam's summary of the family: Transfer RNA (tRNA) molecules are approximately 80 nucleotides in length. Their secondary structure includes four short double-helical elements and three loops (D, anti-codon, and T loops). Further hydrogen bonds mediate the characteristic L-shaped molecular structure. tRNAs have two regions of fundamental functional importance: the anti-codon, which is responsible for specific mRNA codon recognition, and the 3' end, to which the tRNAs corresponding amino acid is attached (by aminoacyl-tRNA synthetases). tRNAs cope with the degeneracy of the genetic code in two manners: having more than one tRNA (with a specific anti-codon) for a particular amino acid; and 'wobble' base-pairing, i.e. permitting non-standard base-pairing at the 3rd anti-codon position. The record is from Rfam by way of RNAcentral. Lineage: Eukaryota; Metazoa; Chordata; Mammalia; Rodentia; Heteromyidae.